GCAGGCUGAAACUCGCCUGUAUGAAGAUGGAGUUGCUAGUAAUCGCGAAUCAGAAUGUCGCGGUGAAUACGUUCCCGGGUCUUGUACACACCGCCCGUCACACCAUGAGAGUUGGCAACACCCGAAACCUGUGGGCUAACCGAAAGGAGGCAGCAGUCUAAGGUGGGGUCAGUGAUUGGGGUGAAGUCGUAACAAGGUACC
This 201-nucleotide ribosomal RNA is filed under the name uncultured bacterium. Its description in RNAcentral is "partial 16S ribosomal RNA". It matches the Rfam family "Bacterial small subunit ribosomal RNA", at positions 1300 to 1500 of the family's 1533-position model. The record is from RNAcentral.